RNAcentral lists this long non-coding RNA (308 nucleotides) under Nicotiana benthamiana. RNAcentral describes it as "long non-coding RNA (NBEN_LNC003046)". The record is from RNAcentral. Lineage: Eukaryota; Viridiplantae; Streptophyta; Magnoliopsida; Solanales; Solanaceae.
AUGCUCGUUUAGAGUAAAAUAAUGAGUAUGAAGUUGGUAUGAUCAAAGUACAUUAUUCUUCUUUGUCAGACUUCAUUAUAUACUCGAGCUUGGCUUGACGUAUCCUUGGCAGACCGCUGAGAGAAUUGUGAUACCAGGGAAUUGAUCCUUGAAAUUGAAUUUGUUAUGAUUCAUUCCAAAAAUAUUACGGAGCUUCCAUAGAUGGUCCAUGAUUGUUGGUCUUUUCCUUCUUCAAAAGAGCAUCCCAUAUAAUUGGUCCUUAAGUUUGUUCCUUAAUCCAUGGAAUUGAGAGUUUUCCUUUUCGAUAC